Molecule: unclassified non-coding RNA, 255 nt
Filed under: Aliivibrio wodanis
Lineage: Bacteria; Pseudomonadati; Pseudomonadota; Gammaproteobacteria; Vibrionales; Vibrionaceae
Description: putative sRNA
Source: RNAcentral
CUUAACUUUAUUUGUACUACAAAAUCAACUAUUUCUUAUUGUUUAAAUGAUAUUCCCUUCAUUUUAAAGUGAUGAUUACUCAUCAUAUCCUCGACUAUAUCUAUUAUUUGUUGUGAUUCUUAUUUUUUAUUUCUACUUUUAUUUCUACUUUUAUUUCAGUUUCUUAAUGGUUUUUUUACCGCAAUCUACUCCUUUUUUUAAUUUUGUCAUCAUGUUUGUUUAUGAUUUUGUGAAUAGCAUCACUUGUCUGAUUAU